AACGCGAAGAACCUUACCUGGGCUUGAACAGCUACUGACCAAGGGUAGAAAUAUCCUCUUCCCGCAAGGGACAGUAGUAGAGGUGCUGCAUGGCUGUCGUCAGCUCGUGCCGUGAGGUGUUGGGUUAAGUCCCGCAACGAGCGCAACCCUUACUCCUAGUUGCUACCCGCAAGGGAGAACUCUAGGAGGACUGCUCCGGAUAACGGAGAGGAAGGUGGGGAUGACGUCAAGUCAGCACGGCCUUUAUGUCCAGGGCUACACACGUGUUACAAUGCACGGUACAGACUGUUGCGAACCCGCGAGGGGGAGCUAAUCGGAUAAAACCGUGCUCAGUUCGGAUUGCAGUCUGCAACUCGGCUGCAUGAAGCUGGAAUCGCUAGUAAUGGCGUAUCAGAUCGACGCCGUGAAUACGUUCCCGGGCCUUGUA
This 427-nucleotide ribosomal RNA is filed under the name uncultured Acidobacteriota bacterium. RNAcentral's name for it is "bacterial SSU rRNA". It matches the Rfam family "Bacterial small subunit ribosomal RNA", at positions 958 to 1385 of the family's 1533-position model. Lineage: Bacteria; Pseudomonadati; Acidobacteriota. The record is from RNAcentral.